RNAcentral lists this unclassified non-coding RNA (319 nucleotides) under Hevea brasiliensis (rubber tree). The record is from RNAcentral. Lineage: Eukaryota; Viridiplantae; Streptophyta; Magnoliopsida; Malpighiales; Euphorbiaceae.
GUCCCUUUGAACCCGAGAAAUCAGAUGUGAAUGCACACCCCCAACAACAGCAAUCCACAAGUCAAGUGAGUCCCGAAUUUCUGGGUGUAGAGCAUAAACACCCUCAAAAAUAAUCACACCACAGUCUUCAGAAACAUCAAGUUCCUUGAAGCCACUACGAGCACCAGUCUCCAAAUCAAAUAUGGGCACUUUAGCAGUUCUGCCACUCCUUAUGUCAUUGAUAUUCUUUGCCAGCACGGAUAGAUCAAGAGAGCGAAAAUCAUCAUGCUUAAAAUCUUUCACUUGUUCAGAUAUAAAGUAGCUUUCAAGGGAAACUACU